UAAACAUGAAAAAUACAGUCUUUAAAAAUUCACUGAAUGGGUUAAAUAGCAAUUUCUAAUAUAGAGAUAAUUAGGAGCCUUAUGGCAGAUCUCAUCAAAUUAGAUGGGGGUGAGCAGACAAGGAAUGGCAGAUGACAGCUUGUCUAGAAGUUCUGUACUAUUUGAAGUAUUGUUGAAGGCAUUUGUUACUUGGAGACAUUAUUUAAGAAAUUAAGCAUGUUUAUGUACUUUAUAAAACUUAACAGAAGACAAUAUCCUAUGUCAUUUAAUGCUCGUAGGUAAGGGCUCAUAUGAGAAAUUACUUCUUGAAUCCAUUCACAGGAAAAUGGGAAUCCAGAGUGCCUCUCAAUGCAAGAGUUCAAGGAGAAUUUCAGUGUUCAAUAUCGUCGGUAAUCAAGGCCAGCUGCCAUACAGUAUUGCUGCAGAACAUCAAGUAACUAGAGAAAAGG
Long non-coding RNA from Leopardus geoffroyi (Geoffroy's cat), 449 nucleotides. RefSeq lists it as uncharacterized. Lineage: Eukaryota; Metazoa; Chordata; Mammalia; Carnivora; Felidae. The record is from RefSeq and is a predicted model, not a curated record. The transcript has 2 exons.